This 261-nucleotide long non-coding RNA is filed under the name Papio anubis (olive baboon). RNAcentral's name for it is "lncRNA (ENSPANG00000036716.2)". The record is from RNAcentral. Lineage: Eukaryota; Metazoa; Chordata; Mammalia; Primates; Cercopithecidae.
AUGGGACCCAGUCUGGCACCAGACUGAGACUCCAAAGGAAGAUAGACUGUCAGUAUUCACAAGGCGGAUAAUCCACGGACCUUCAAACUUCCUUUAUGCCUCUUUCUGAAGCACAUUAAGCCCAGCUGCAUCUGGUAUUCCAGGUGAGUAUCCACUAUAGAUAUCCCCUAAGAAGAAAGAUCACUUAGCAAAGACUCUCUUUUGCUUCUCUUUUUAUUAUUAUUAUUAUUAUUUUUUUUUGACAGAGUCUCACUCUGUUGC